RNAcentral lists this ribosomal RNA (253 nucleotides) under uncultured bacterium. RNAcentral describes it as "partial 16S ribosomal RNA". It matches the Rfam family "Bacterial small subunit ribosomal RNA", at positions 524 to 776 of the family's 1533-position model. The record is from RNAcentral.
UACAGAGGGUGCGAGCGUCAAUCGGAGUUACUGGGCGUAAAGGGCACGUAGGCGGUACUAAAAGAUUGAUGUGAAAGCCCUGGGCUUAACCUAGGAAGCGCAUCGAUGACUGUAGGACUGGAGUAUAUGAGAGGGUGGCGGAAUUUCCGGUGUAGCGGUGAAAUGCGUAGAGAUCGGAAGGAACGUCGAUGGCGAAGGCAGCCACCUGGCAUAAUACUGACGCUGAGGUGCGAAAGCGUGGGUAGCGAACAGG